Leopardus geoffroyi (Geoffroy's cat) is the source of this 230-nucleotide long non-coding RNA. RefSeq lists it as uncharacterized. The record is from RefSeq and is a predicted model, not a curated record. Lineage: Eukaryota; Metazoa; Chordata; Mammalia; Carnivora; Felidae. The transcript has 3 exons.
GGGAACUAUAGUUUCUCAUCUCCAGAUUCAAGAGGGCGUCAGAUACUCAGACCAGAGGAGAGCAAAGAAAAAGGUUUUUCCUCGCUUUGGCAUUAUUCAAUCCAUGUCAGCGUAUGAGAUGCAGCCUGUGGUCAAGGAACAGAAGAAAGGCAGCUGUAUCCUAGGGAAGGAGUUCAAGUCAUGUGCUUCUUUCAUAAAUAUUGCUUUAACCUACUCUUAUGAUUGGCUGG